GAUGGUCUUUCGCCCUAUCCGGUAUUUUACUGUGAUAGUGGGUUUGGUCGCUCGCAUUUUUAACUAGCUAGAGUAAUGGUGGACCGCACUUCUCCCUUAGUAGGACGUUGCGACCUGUUAAAAAAUACUUUAAGUAUGGUUAAAAUGUCUGUAUUUAAGAUGUGCUGAAAAGUAUAUUUUAAUUACAGUUUUAAUCAUUAUAUACAGAGUAUUUUAAUUUUAACAGUAACAAAUGAUGGUGUCGAGCCACUUGAUAUUAUUAAUUUCUUUUAAUUAGUAAUAGAAAGUGUUUUUGUCUUUUUACAAGUGGGUUGAUUUAUAGUAUUGGUCGGACUUUAUGGUCCGUCUUAUUAUAUCACCUACUGUUUGUAAAUUUAGACUUGAACUGUGCUUACAAC
This 398-nucleotide ribosomal RNA is filed under the name Myocoris sp. 00004091. RNAcentral describes it as "partial 28S ribosomal RNA". Lineage: Eukaryota; Metazoa; Arthropoda; Insecta; Hemiptera; Reduviidae. The record is from RNAcentral.